RNAcentral lists this ribosomal RNA (254 nucleotides) under uncultured bacterium. Its description in RNAcentral is "partial 16S ribosomal RNA". It matches the Rfam family "Bacterial small subunit ribosomal RNA", at positions 524 to 776 of the family's 1533-position model. The record is from RNAcentral.
UACGGGGGGAGCAAGCGUUGUUCGGAUUUACUGGGCGUAAAGGGCGCGUAGGCGGCCACCGCAAGUCGGUUGUGAAAUCUCUGGGCUUAACCCAGAAAGGUCAACCGAUACUGCGGGGCUAGAGUGCAGAAGGGGCAACUGGAAUUCUCGGUGUAGCGGUGAAAUGCGUAGAGAUCCGGAGGAACACCAGAGGCGAAGGCGGCAACCUGGCUCGUAACUGACGCUCAUACACGACAGCAUGGGGAGCGAACGGG